RNAcentral lists this ribosomal RNA (540 nucleotides) under uncultured bacterium. RNAcentral describes it as "partial 16S ribosomal RNA". It matches the Rfam family "Bacterial small subunit ribosomal RNA", at positions 355 to 901 of the family's 1533-position model. The record is from RNAcentral.
UGGGGAAUAUUGCACAAUGGGCGCAAGCCUGAUGCAGCAACGCCGCGUGAGGGAUGACGGCCUUCGGGUUGUAAACCUCUUUUAGCAGGGAAGAAGCGAAAGUGACGGUACCUGCAGAAAAAGCGCCGGCUAACUACGUGCCAGCAGCCGCGGUAAUACGUAGGGCGCAAGCGUUAUCCGGAAUUAUUGGGCGUAAAGAGCUCGUAGGCGGUUUGUCGCGUCUGCUGUGAAAUCCUGAGGCUCAACCUCGGGUCUGCAGUGGGUACGGGCAGACUAGAGUGCGGUAGGGGAGAUUGGAAUUCCUGGUGUAGCGGUGGAAUGCGCAGAUAUCAGGAGGAACACCGAUGGCGAAGGCAGAUCUCUGGGCCGUAACUGACGCUGAGGAGCGAAAAGGGUGGGGAGCAAAACAGGCUUAGAAUGACCCUGGUAGUCCACCCCGUAAACGUUGGGAACUAGUUGUGGGGUCCAUUCCACGGAUUCCGUGACGCAGCUAACGCAUUAAGUUCCCCGCCUGGGGAGUACGGCCGCAAGGCUAAAACU